GCGAAGGCGGCCUCCUGGACCACUCCUGACACUCAGACGCGAAAGCUAGGGUAGCAAACGGGAUUAGAGACCCCGGUAGUCCUAGCCCUAAACGAUGUAGACUUGGCGUCGGUGGUUUAAUCGCCAUCGGUGUCGUAGCUAACGCGNUAAGUCUACCGCCUGGGGACUACGGCCGCAAGGUUAAAACUCAAAGGAAUUGACGGGUCCCCGCACAAGCAGCGGAGCGUGUGGUUUAAUUCGAUGCUACACGAAGAACCUUACCUGGGUUUGACAUAGAGGUAGUAGGGAAGCGAAAGCGGACCGACCCUUCGGGGAGCCUCUACAGGUGUUGCAUGGCUGUCGUCAGCUCGUGUCGUGAGAUGUUCGGUUAAGUCCGCUAACGAGCGCAACCCUCGCUGUGUGUUACAAGUGUCACACGGUACUGCCGAUAUUAAGUCA
Molecule: ribosomal RNA, 438 nt
Filed under: uncultured Chloroflexota bacterium
Lineage: Bacteria; Bacillati; Chloroflexota
Description: bacterial SSU rRNA
Rfam family: Bacterial small subunit ribosomal RNA
Source: RNAcentral